Molecule: non-coding RNA, 334 nt
Organism: Paramuricea clavata
Lineage: Eukaryota; Metazoa; Cnidaria; Anthozoa; Malacalcyonacea; Plexauridae
Source: the annotation of a GenBank genome assembly
AUUGCCAUUGCCAUUGCCAUUGCCAUUGCCAUUGCCAUUGCCAUUGCCAUUGCCAUUGCCAUUGCCAUUGCCGAUGGCAAGGAAAUUUCUAUCCUCGACAAUAAAAAAAUAAAAAAAUGUAAAAAAUACGUCCCUUGACUUUUUAUAUAUGACGCUCGACUGAGUUUUAAUAUGACCCUCGACUUUUUACCCUCGACCAUCGACAUUAAUUGGACCCUCGACUUCACACCCUCAACACUCGACAAAAACCGGCUCAAAUUGUUACAGUCUGUUUAUUUAUUUACAGUAUUGAUCAGUGUUGAUCAUUCCCUGCUGGCAGAGGUCUCUAUUUGUG